GACGAACGCUGGCGGCGUGCUUAACACAUGCAAGUCGAACGGAAAGGCCCUGCUUUUGUGGGGUGCUCGAGUGGCGAACGGGUGAGUAACACGUGAGUAACCUGCCCUUGACUUUGGGAUAACUUCAGGAAACUGGGGCUAAUACCGGAUAGGAGCUCCUGCUGCAUGGUGGGGGUUGGAAAGUUUCGGCGGUUGGGGAUGGACUCGCGGCUUAUCAGCUUGUUGGUGGGGUAGUGGCUUACCAAGGCUUUGACGGGUAGCCGGCCUGAGAGGGUGACCGGCCACAUUGGGACUGAGAUACGGCCCAGACUCCUACGGGAGGCAGCAGUGGGGAAUAUUGCACAAUGGGCGGAAGCCUGAUGCAGCAACGCCGCGUGCGGGAUGACGGCCUUCGGGUUGUAAACCGCCUCCGCCUGUGACGAAGCGUGAGUGACGGUAAUGGGUAAAGAAGCACCGGCUAACUACGUG
This 468-nucleotide ribosomal RNA is filed under the name uncultured bacterium. Its description in RNAcentral is "partial 16S ribosomal RNA". It matches the Rfam family "Bacterial small subunit ribosomal RNA", at positions 28 to 507 of the family's 1533-position model. The record is from RNAcentral.